CAGCAGCCGCGGUAAUACGUAGGUGGCAAGCGUUGUCCGGAAUUAUUGGGCGUAAAGGGCUCGCAGGCGGUUUCUUAAGUCUGAUGUGAAAGCCCCCGGCUCAACCGGGGAGGGUCAUUGGAAGCUGGGAAACUUGAGUGCAGAAGAGGAGAGUGGAAUUCCACGUGUAGCGGUGAAAUGCGUAGAGAUGUGGAGGAACACCAGUGGCGAAGGCGACUCUCUGGUCUGUAACUGACGCUGAGGAGCGAAAGCGUGGGGAGCGAACAGGAUUAGAUACCCCCGUAGUCCCUGUCUCUUAUAA
Molecule: ribosomal RNA, 301 nt
Filed under: uncultured bacterium
Lineage: Bacteria
Description: partial 16S ribosomal RNA
Rfam family: Bacterial small subunit ribosomal RNA
Source: RNAcentral